Molecule: ribosomal RNA, 440 nt
Filed under: uncultured bacterium
Lineage: Bacteria
Description: partial 16S ribosomal RNA
Rfam family: Bacterial small subunit ribosomal RNA
Source: RNAcentral
CCUACGGGCGGCAGCAGUGGGGAAUAUUGCACAAUGGGGGAAACCCUGAUGCAGCAACGCCGCGUGAGUGAAGAAGUAUUUCGGUAUGUAAAGCUCUAUCAGCAGGGAAGAAGAUGACGGUACCUGACUAAGAAGCCCAGGCUAACUACGUGCCAGCAGCCGCGGUAAUACGUAGGGGGCAAGCGUUAUCCGGAUUUACUGGGUGUAAAGGGAGCGUAGACGGUGAGACAAGUCUGAAGUGAAAGAACGGGGCUCAACCCCGAGACUGCUUUGGAAACUGCCUGACUGGAGUGCAGGAGAGGCAAGCGGAAUUCCUAGUGUAGCGGUGAAAUGCGUAGAUAUUAGGAAGAACACCAGUGGCGAAGGCGGCUUGCUGGACAGUAACUGACGUUGAGGCUCGAAAGCGUGGGGAGCAAACAGGAUUAGAUACCCCUGUAGUC